Molecule: long non-coding RNA, 1286 nt
Organism: Electrophorus electricus (electric eel)
Lineage: Eukaryota; Metazoa; Chordata; Actinopteri; Gymnotiformes; Gymnotidae
Source: RefSeq, a predicted model, not a curated record
CUUUGCUGCAGACAGCGUCUUCCUAAGGAAGGAAACUCGGACCCCCUUCCCUCCUUUUUAAUGCUCCCCAGCUGCUCUGACUGCAAAUAGGAACGUCGGAGGACUGGGACUCGAAAUAAGCCCCGAAAUCAAGACCAGGGAAGCCAAGCUUUCGCCAUACCCUCAAUAAACCUACACCCCUCUGCAGGCCUCUUGUGAGAUGUGGAGCUCCAGAGUUGAGGGGUAAAGAGAGGGGGCUCUCCCCUCCUAAAUCACCGUGUGCCCCUCAGUUAACCUCCAGGGUCCAACCUGCGAAGUCGAACAGCAGGAACAAGGCACUUGCACGCCCCCUAAAGAGGGUCCCGACUGGGAAGGAGACAGAAAAAUCCUGACAAUGGGAUGAAAGGGACCGUCUGAAGGCAUUUGAUUGUAAGGAAGUGACAGCUAUGAAUGGUGACAGAGCUUGAAUGAGAGCUCUCGAGAUGGGAUGUAUGCCUUGUUAGUGACUAUUGUGGGGCAACAGGGGGGUGGGAAGGGUGACAGUCCUUCCCCCUUUUUUUUAUUUCCAAGAAGGUGUUCAUCCUUCAAGGAGGGCGGCGAAUCUUCAAAGCCAUGCCUUCUCAGACCUCCAGUGUCACCAUCAUCGUUCCCAUGUGGUGACCUCUGGGAAGGCUGCAUCAGCACGUGGGUCUCCUGGAGGAGAAGAUGCGUCAAACUGCAGUUUGCAUAAUGCCAAGGCUUUUAUAAUUUCCCCUUGGGUGUCCUGGGAUUGAUCGAUGUUCUUUCACUUGACAGGACAUCCAUCAGGAUCCAUUUAUCGUCCUCUUUAGGAGAUGAGCAUUCUGUUUCUUUUAUCUAGGGACUCUUUCAGAAAAGAUAAUAGCUGCUCUUCUAAUUGGUGUUGAAACACUGAACUGGCAUGGAAUUUCUCUGUGUUUUCCAAGAGCCACUUUAUCUGAGUACAGAAUGUUUGACACACGCUUCUGAAGUGCUCUGAGAUAAAUGGGCAUGUUUGUUUUAUGCAAGAAGGACUGCUAAUCAGCAUUACAUUUGUAAAAGUUUGUGUUGUGUUGUUAAUGUUUGUUCAACAGCUGGACCCCUGUCAAAUGUCAAGCACUGUUUGACUGUAAAUAUAGGCUAUGUGUCAAUUCAGGACUCAGAUGAAAUAUUUCAUAGAUCAUAUAUUAAUAAAUAUCAAAGACAUUAGUUGAACAAACACAGUGUAUAAGUGUUCUGCAAUUUAAUUAAAGUAUAGCCACUUGUCUUAAACAAACAUCUCCAACAUCAUACGGCUACAAGCAAAAGAA